GCAGAAGGCAGGAGGAGGGAGGGGAGGAGGGGGAGGGAGGGAGAGAGGGAAUCCAGCUACCACCACCCAAAGCCAGCGUCUGCUUUCUGUCCUCAUUUCCUUUUCCCACCCAGCUUGGAGAGCAGAGAAAGGCAGAGAGAGCGAGAAAUAGAGACAGUCUGAGAGACAGACAGACAGCCAGAGAGAGCGGGAGGGAGGAGGGCGGAGGAGGAGGAGCAGGAGGACUACGCGGGGCGCGUUCCCUCCCAGCCGGGCGCCCGCGUCGCUGCCACCGCCGGAAGACAGACGUCCCCCAAAACCCCUCGCCUGGCUCGGACCCACGGAGCCGGCAGCCCAGCACUCCGAUGGGAGCUUGCCUGAUUGUCAACCCAUCGGCCUGGACCCCAGAGCCCACCCAGCUGAGCGUGUGCAGAGGGCCCCGAGUGCGGGGCGACGCUCAGGCCGUUGCAGAGACCACCCUGGAGAUGCUGAUGAAGACAGGCCUUUCCUGCUGAGCCCAGCCUAUCUUCGCAGCCUGCUCAGGUAACAGUGUGCAGGGAAGUCAGGCUUGGGCCUGCGCCACCCCCAGGAAGUGGGGAU
RNAcentral lists this long non-coding RNA (579 nucleotides) under Pan troglodytes (chimpanzee). RNAcentral's name for it is "long non-coding RNA NONPTRT000929". Lineage: Eukaryota; Metazoa; Chordata; Mammalia; Primates; Hominidae. The record is from RNAcentral.